GGGCUCACACAAGCGGUGGAGGAUGUGGCUCAAUUCGAGGCUACGCGAAGAACCUUAUCCUAGUCUUGACAUGCUUUAGAACCCUUCCGAAAGGAAGGGGUGCCCGCAAGGGAGCUUUAGCACAGGUGCUGCAUGGCUGUCGUCAGCUCGUGUCGUGAGAUGUCGGGUUAAGUCCCUUAACGAGCGAAACCCUUGUCCUUAGUUACCAGCGGGUCAUGCCGGGGACUCUAAGGAGACUGCCGGUGUUAAACCGGAGGAAGGUGGGGAUGACGUCAAGUCCUCAUGGCCUUUAUGACUAGGGCUGCACACGUCCUACAAUGGCGCGCACAAAGCGACGCAAACUCGCAAGAGCCAGCAAAUCGCAAAAAUCGCGCCCCAGUUCGGAUUGCAGGCUGCAACCCGCCUGCAUGAAGCCGGAAUCGCUAGUAAUCGCGGGUCAGCAUACCGCGGUGAAUGUGUUCCUGAGCCUU
This 470-nucleotide ribosomal RNA is filed under the name uncultured bacterium. RNAcentral describes it as "bacterial SSU rRNA". It matches the Rfam family "Bacterial small subunit ribosomal RNA", at positions 917 to 1382 of the family's 1533-position model. The record is from RNAcentral.